GCCACGAUGAAAAACAUACAAUAUAUUAUAUCUUUAUUCUUUAUAUGUUACAUGCAUUCCCCUGCAGUAGUGAAAAGUAAAUUGUUUGUUUUAUUUCAGUGUCGACAGCUCAAACUAUGGUGGUAUCUUAUCGCUACAAUGCUGCUAACUAGACUCUUGGAUGAAGUUAAGUUGUUUUAGUCAGAUGAUCUACUUUUUGGCGUUUCCUACUGCCCUAGUUAUAGUAGUUCAAGGUUUAACUGUAAAUAUAGUGUUAAGUAAGUUUCAAUACUUCCCUGCCACCUUUUCAGACAUUGCAGAGAUGUGUGACCGCACAAUUCUCAAACCGAAGAAUCAAAAGGAGUUAUUGAUUUAUCGGUAUAUAAAGUAUGUAUGCUUUAUCAAACAAAGCCACUAGGUAUUCGUGACACAGUUUACGUGUGAUGACGUGGGCAUCUCUCAACACACUUUGCAGCAUGAGCGACGGUGCCGUGGCGGGAUAUCUGGAAAUGUAGCCUUGAGCUCAGUUUAUUUUUCUCCGUCACCUCACCCGGGGGAGGGGGGGGGAGCCAAUGACUUUGGGUACUUUGGGGACAAGUGCAGAAUUUCGCCAGCAAUUUAACCUCAAGUCUCCAAGAUUUUUAGCCCCCAUUGGUACCCAAAAGUCUCCUUUAGAAGUCAUUUAAUAAAA
Molecule: long non-coding RNA, 670 nt
Organism: Bolinopsis microptera
Lineage: Eukaryota; Metazoa; Ctenophora; Tentaculata; Lobata; Bolinopsidae
Exons: 2
Source: RefSeq, a predicted model, not a curated record